Molecule: long non-coding RNA, 1069 nt
Organism: Poecilia reticulata (guppy)
Lineage: Eukaryota; Metazoa; Chordata; Actinopteri; Cyprinodontiformes; Poeciliidae
Source: RefSeq, a predicted model, not a curated record
GGCAGAGAAACAGUUCCUGUAAACCUGAGUCACGUGAUCAACAUCCAGAUGCUUCCACUGGCGCAAACCAUGAAGAAGAAGGAAAUGGUUGGAGUCUCAUGGAUGCAGGACCUAGACAGAGAUUUGCGCACAUUUGUAAAGGAAAUGCAGCUACAUCCAGGUCCUGAGAACCGCUCCUUUCUCUGGACAUGAGACGGCCGUCACACACAGACGCCGUUUGGAAGAAACACCAGCAGAGACACUGGAGUUCCUGCAACAACUCAAGAAGUACAACAACCUGUCACAGGAAGUGCUGGUCAUGUUCUACAUGGCCAUUACUCAGUCUGCCCUGUGCUCAUCUGUGACUGUGUGGUUUGGCUCAUCCACGAAACAGGAAGGGCCGGACGGCAAUGAGCAGUCAUGUCUGGAAAGAGGGAGUUUAUCUGUCCUCCAUCCAGGACUUGAACAAAUCUGGAGUCAGGAAAAAGGGGAACAAACGUCUCUGCAAACCCCACACAUGCUGGACACUAACCGUUUACCUUCAGGUUGGCGAUACACAAAACCCAGCUCCUUUCUGACGAACAAACUGAUACCAUACAUCAAACUUUUGGACCAAAAUCACCAAGUUAAAGGAAAGUUGAAAGAACUAAAAUCAAGCACAUAAAGCAGUGCGAUUAUUUUCUACGCCUUUUUUUUCUUUUUUGUAGAACAGGGAUAAUAUUCAUCGUAGAUCCAAAACUUCAAAAGGAUUUUACACACGCGCCGUAGUAAAAGAAAGGCAUCCGUCUUUCAAAUUGUUCUGGCCUCAGUUGAACAGAUUUAUCUGCAGCUAUAAAAACAGGAUUUCUUCCAAAAUGCUCACAAUAUUUAUCCAAAUUGAAUGAAAAUCAGAUUUUUCGCUCAUCUCUGGAUAAACGUGGUUCUGUUCACUUCGGUCGUAAAAAAGACAAAUACUUUUUGUUGCACUUAAUUUACAUAGUAAGGAAAUUACAUCUGUCAGUUACAAUUAUUAUAAAUUAUGUCGGUAACAGUUUUACUUUGAUUAUACAUUUUUUAAAAAAGGCUCUGUUUGCUUCAACAACCUGUGACG